GCCUCCAUGCAGGCAAGGGGGCCGGGCCGGGGGGUCUGCGGGGGCCGGGAAACCCAGCCGACCAGGGAGCGAGGCCUACCUGAGACACUCACAGCAAAGGAAACCGAGGCACGGAGCAGGUACCCCAGGCACCCAGGGCCACCCAGCACAGGUCAGGAACUGAGACGCCAGCCUCCCUCUCACGGUGGCCUGAGUGUCCCCACCCUGCAGCAAGAGGCUUGGACAUCGCUGCUGCUAAGACCUUCCCUCGGGGGGGGUGGUCAGCAGAGCCCCAAUGACCUUUCUCGCUCUCUCUCUUCUUACCGCCCUCAUGUCCCCUCUCCAAAGGGGCUCAGCCAGAAGGACCCCCACCCACCCUGUCUCCAGGAGGUCCCCCAAGAUUGCAUCCAUAGCAAUGCUAGGAAAAUGCCCCCUCACAAGGCCCCACUUACCCACUCUAGAGCUCUCUCCCCUUUCUAGAUCAUAGGCCCAGCAGGACCCUCCUGGUCAGGCAGGUCUUGCCACGAGCCCCAGAUCAGGAGACCAUCGAGCUCUGGGAGGGGCUGGGCUCACCCAUGUCACCCACCUGGGACACAGCCGUGGUAUGUAGUGAGACCUCACAGAUUUCCAAUGACCUCCCCCCCCCAACUGGAAGAGAGAGGCUCUUGGCCAGGCCGUGCCCUGCUGGCACCCACCUUCUGAGAGAAAGAAAGAUAAGGCAGUGAAAACAGUAAUGAUAACGCAUAGCUGUCCGCUAUUGAGCGUGUAAUAACUGCUUUACGUACAGGAUCUCAUUUCAUUGUCAGAAAUCCACCAGGAGGCAGGUAGUAUUGUUAUCACCAUUUUACGGAUAGGGCUCAGAGGAGGCAAGGAGCCUAAAGUCAGCCAGCUAAUAAACGGAUUCAAACCCUGCCACGUCCACGACCAACCGUCUCUAUUCCCUUAACCCCCACACCCAUCCUGCCAGACCAGGUGAAUGAUCCCAAAGUACAGACCAGAAAACCGAGAUUGUGAUGAGGUCACCCAUCCAGAAAGUGGGAAGAGGGAUUCAACCCUGGGCUUCUAGCCCCCAGAGUCCCAGUCUCAUUUCCUUCCUUCCCUCACCCCCACCACAAUCAAGUUCCCUAAAUGUCCUUCAACUCCAUCUGUACCAGCAGCCCCUCGACCUCACCUCCCAUCAGGACAGAUGCAAUAGCUCCCCCACACCCAUUCUCACUGGCUGGACCCAACACAUAUCAGAUGAUCAUGAAAAUCCAGAAAGAGAAUCCCUGGGGGAAUAAGCUAACUAUCCAUGCACAGGAGCUAGGAGGAGAGCACUGCAGUUUGUUUACACGACAGACCCUCCGCUGAGAACAAAUCGAUGCAUUCGAGCUGCUAUACCACCGGGCGCAGAUCUCCAGAACAGAACUUUGAGUGGAAAAAAAGGCGAAUUGCAGAAGUGAAUGUACAAGUGACGCCAUCUGUACAAUCACACCCACCACCGAAGCAGGGCCCCCGAACCUCAGGGAAGUGUGUGUGUGUGUGUGUGUGUGUGUGUGUGUGUGUAAAAGUAUAAAGAUGUGGCACAACCACUUUGGGAAACUGGCCACAGCUAUCAAAACUAAAUAUGCACAUAUCCCAUCAUCUUGCAAUUCCCUUCUUGAACACAAACUAACAGAAAUGUGUUCUUAUGCCCAUGAGAGACGCGCACGAGAAGGUUCACAGCAACACUAUUCAAAAUGCUGGUAACUGGAAGGCAUGUCCCUCUCCAUAGACAGUAGGGUGACUAAACGAACUGUGGUCUGUGUAAAGAGCGGACUACGACAUAGUCGGGGAAAGGAAACGAACCCCUGACGCAAAACACGGAGCCCUCUCAUUGGCACAAUAUUGAGUGAAAGUGCCAGAUACCGAACAGGACAUAUGGAUGAUUCCACGUAUCUGAAGUUCAAGAACAGCAAGACCCAGUGCUAGAAUCGGUCAAUGACGGGAUGCAGGUGGUGAUCCCAUGAGCUAUCAAACUGUGGUCCCGCAGCGAGGACAUGACAGAGAUGAAGGGACUCUGUGGCCAGCUGGGGCCAGCAUCUCUGCUCUCCAGGCCCAAGGCUCCACUGGGUCCAAAGAAAUUGGAAAGAGAGGCAACCACAGGGCAAGCUGUCCAUCCUGGCAGGCCCUCACCACAGCCACCGUGCACAGGAUGAAAGGGUCCCACACCUCGCUGAAAAAGUACAUUUUUCGCUGUUAAUAUUUCUGAGCUGGUGUAAUGGUAUGGCUUUGCCCCCAUGGUACUGUUAAUUUUUAGCUUGCAUUUUCCUCUUUGUAUUCUAGUUUCAUUUUUCCAGGCUUGUGGCAUUUCACAGACACUUUAAAGCUCAUAUGGCCGCAUAAGAGAGAGAAAAACAGAGAGUCAGAGACCACAAGAGACAGGGAGACAGAGUCCAAAACAGAAGGAGAGACAGAUGGGGACAGGGGGACAGAGAGACGGGGGAGUGGUGAUGGCGGAGACGGAGGGAUCUGACUCCUACAUCUUACCUAACGUGCACCCCUCUGGAAGAAUGACUUUAGCAUUUAGUGAGCACUUACUAUACUGAACACCCCGUGUGAGGGAGCACCUAUGAUUCUCACAAGCUCCCCAUAAGGUGAGUGCUAUUCUCGUUCUUAUUUAAAGACAAGGACACUGAGGCAGAGAGGUCACCCGGCUCGGCCCCAGUCAUAUAGUCAGUGGGUGGGGAAGCCAGGUUUGGCCCCAGAUCUGCCCCAGAGCCAAGGCUAACCCAUUUCCUUCCAGAACAGGUCUUGGGGUCUCUGGGUUUGUUUUUGGGCAAGUCUCAAAAUUACCUGUGCCAGCCAAACAGAGGUCCUGACCCAACAGGGCUGGGAUGAGGCCCGAGACACUGCACUUCUAACAGCCCCUCAGGUUGGCCCCAAGUUGAAGAUCCUAGAUCACACUCCACUAACAGAGUUUAGCGGAGUCUGUUCCUAUGAGGAUCCCACCGGCAGCCACUCCAACCAUCACCAUACCCACAGGCCGGCCCCUUUUGGUUUAAAUUUCUCAACACUUCUGUGGGUCUGUCCCCAGAUUCCCAGGAAUCCCUCCCCACCAAGCAGCCUUCUCCUGCACACAAAGACAGCUGCACAAAGAUGUUCACUGUGGCAUUGUUUACAGGAAAGACAAAUCGGAACCACCUAAAUGUCCACCAAGAGAGGACAGUGACAUACCCUGCGAUCCAUGUAGCCAUGACUAAUGAUGGCAGAGCAAAGCUCAAAAUACACAUGACAUCUGAUCCAGCAGUUCCACUUCUAGGAAUAUAUGCUACGGACUUGCACAUGGACACAAAGACAUUUGCACAAGGCUAACUGUUGCAAUUUCUAGUGGCGAAAGCCGGCAAGCACCUUGAUGGCCAACAAUGAGAACUGGGUCAUUAAAUCCUGAUCCACUUCCCCAAGGGACGACUUCUAAAGAAAAGAAGGGCAUUCCUUAUGCCCUGACGUGGACCAUCGCCAAGAUCUACUGUGAAGUGAAAAAACAAGGCACAUAAACAGAGUGUACCGUCUUCUACUAUCUGUAGGAAUGGAAAAAAAGAAAGAAAAUCUAUGCUUCUGUUUGUCUAUGCAUAGAACCCUUCUGGAAAGCCAAACAAAACGUCCUACGAGGAACUGAGCAAAGGGAGGCAGGAGGAAGACAGACUUUUAACUGUAUGCUUCUUGUACCUGUGUAUUUGGUGCCAGGUGAAGGUGUUAUCUGCGGACAAAUAGUAAUAGAAGUUAAAAAUUUGUUAAAUGA
This is a long non-coding RNA of Canis lupus familiaris (dog), 3739 nucleotides long. RefSeq lists it as uncharacterized. The transcript has 2 exons. The record is from RefSeq and is a predicted model, not a curated record. Lineage: Eukaryota; Metazoa; Chordata; Mammalia; Carnivora; Canidae.